UAUGCUGUUAGGGCGCAACUGAGUAGUCUAGUGUUGUUCCGAUUUUGGUUCUUGUGAAGAUUGACAUCGAUUCGUUCCAAAUUUACACUCUCGGGGCAUAAUAGAACAAUAUAAUUAGCUUUUACACUUUGUUCGAUUGAAUGAGAAAAAGUACUAGUUGCAAAGUUAUACUGUUGGGGCGCAACAGAGUAGUCUAUUGUUGUUCCGGUUUUGGUUCUUGUUAAGGUUGACAUCGAUUCGUUCCAAAUUUACACUCUCGGGGCAUAAUAGAACAAUAUAAUUAGGUUUUACUCUUUGUUCGAUCGAAUGAGAAAAAGUACUCGUUGCAAAGUUAUACUGUUAGGGCGCAACUGAGUAGUCUAAUGUUGUUCCGGUUUUGGUUCUUGUGAACGUUGACAUCGAUUCGUUCGAAUUUACACUCUCGCGGCAUAAUAGAACAAUAUAAUUAGGUUUUACACUUUGUUCGAUAGAAUGAGAAAAAGUACUCGUUGCAAAGUUAUACUGUUAGGGCGCAACUGAGUAGUCUAAUGUUGUUCCGGUUUUGGUUCUUGUGAACGUUGACAUCGAUUCGUUCCAAAUUUACACUCUCGGGGCAUAAUAGAACAAUAUAAUUAGGUUUUACGCUUUGUUCGAUUGAAUGAGAAAAAGUACUCGUUGCAAAGUUAUACUGUUAGGGCGCAACUGAGUAGUCUAAUGUUGUUCCGGUUUUGGUUCUUGUGAACGUUGACAUCGAUUCGUUCCAAAUUUACACUCUCGGGGCAUAAUAGAACAAUAUAAUUAGNNN
This 784-nucleotide long non-coding RNA is filed under the name Ananas comosus (pineapple). RNAcentral describes it as "long non-coding RNA (ACOM_LNC029061)". The record is from RNAcentral. Lineage: Eukaryota; Viridiplantae; Streptophyta; Magnoliopsida; Poales; Bromeliaceae.